CAGCGACGGAUGUCUUGGCUCCCACAACGAUGAAGAACGCAGCGAAAUGCGAUACGUCUUGCGACUUGCAGAAUCCAGUGAAUCAUCAAAACUUUGAACGCAUCUUGCGCUUCCGGGAUAUGCCUGGGAGCAUGCUUGUCGGAGUGUCUGU
This 151-nucleotide ribosomal RNA is filed under the name Scytosiphon lomentaria. RNAcentral's name for it is "5.8S ribosomal RNA". It matches the Rfam family "5.8S ribosomal RNA". Rfam says of the family: 5.8S ribosomal RNA (5.8S rRNA) is a component of the large subunit of the eukaryotic ribosome. It is transcribed by RNA polymerase I as part of the 45S precursor that also contains 18S and 28S rRNA. Lineage: Eukaryota; Phaeophyceae; Ectocarpales; Scytosiphonaceae. The record is from RNAcentral.